UACAGAGGUGGCAAGCGUUGUUCGGAAUUACUGGGCGUAAAGGACGCGUAGGCGGUUUCGUAAGUCCCGUGUGAAAGCCCCCGGCUCAACUGGGGAAUUGCACGGGAAACUGCGAGGCUUGAGUUCGGGAGAGGGAAGCGGAAUUCCGGGUGUAGCGGUGAAAUGCGUAGAUAUCUGGAGGAACACCGGUGGCGAAGGCGGCAUCCUGGACCGACACUGACGCUGAUGAGCGAAAGCCAGGGGAGCAAACGGG
This 253-nucleotide ribosomal RNA is filed under the name uncultured bacterium. RNAcentral describes it as "partial 16S ribosomal RNA". It matches the Rfam family "Bacterial small subunit ribosomal RNA", at positions 524 to 776 of the family's 1533-position model. The record is from RNAcentral.